AGCAGCCACGGUAAUUCCAGCUCCAAUAGCGUAUAUUAAAGUUGUUGCAGUUAAAAAGCUCGUAGUUGAAUUCCGGAAUCAAUUAAUUGGUCGUGCCUAUGGUACGUACUGAUUUUAUUGGUUUCUCCCUUCUGACGAACCAUGAUGUCAUUAAUUUGGUGUCGUGGAGAAUCAGGACUGUUACUUUGAAAAAAUUAGAGUGUUUAAAGCAAGCUAACGCUCGAAUACAUUAGCAUAGAAUAAUGAAAUAGGACGUUUGAUCCUAUUUUGUUGGUUUCUAGGAUCAACGUAAUGAUUAAUAGGGAUAGUUGGGGGCAUUAGUAUUCAAUUGUCAAAGGCGAAAUUCUUGGAUUUAUUGAAGACUAACUACUGCAAAAGCAUUUGUUAAGGAUGUUUUAUUAAUCAAGAAUGAAAGUUAGGGAAUCGAAGACGAUCAGAUACCGUCGUAGUCUUAACCAUAAAUUAUGCCGACUAGGGAUCAGAUG
Molecule: ribosomal RNA, 485 nt
Filed under: uncultured Glomus
Lineage: Eukaryota; Fungi; Glomeromycota; Glomeromycetes; Glomerales; Glomeraceae
Description: bacterial SSU rRNA
Rfam family: Eukaryotic small subunit ribosomal RNA
Source: RNAcentral